GGUUGUGGCUCAGCGGUAGAGCGUUCGCCUAGCAUGUGCGAGGCCCUGGGUUCAAUCUUCAGCACCA
RNAcentral lists this transfer RNA (67 nucleotides) under Marmota monax (woodchuck). RNAcentral describes it as "tRNA.Ala". The record is from RNAcentral. Lineage: Eukaryota; Metazoa; Chordata; Mammalia; Rodentia; Sciuridae.